Molecule: long non-coding RNA, 507 nt
Organism: Chinchilla lanigera (long-tailed chinchilla)
Lineage: Eukaryota; Metazoa; Chordata; Mammalia; Rodentia; Chinchillidae
Exons: 3
Source: RefSeq, a predicted model, not a curated record
CAGGACCUGAGAGGUUCGAGAAAACUUGUGACCGACCAGUUAAGACGGGAGCUCAGGAGCUGGAACAGUUAGUGGUGCUCAUACCCACUAGGGCAGAGCUGCAUCAGCCCAAUCAAACCACAUGCCCACCUCGCUAAGCAUGUUUCCUUCACACCAGACUCACCAGGCAACGUUGCAGUGUGGAUGCACGGUUGUCAGGACAGGACUCUGCGUCCUCCCACAGCGGAGACAACUCCCACUUCUGGUGAAAGAUUUCAGGAUCUUCUAAGGAGAAGUCCUUCGGCAGCACAGGAGGCACUCGCCUGGCACCCAGCCAGUCCUGAAAAGCCCGUUCAGCUGUUCUAGAGCCACUUGGGCAAGACACGCAAGGCCCAGGCAGAACUGGUUCCAAAGCACCGCCUCCGUGAAGCCUGCCAUUCCUCCUUCGCCACUGUAUCGGGCUGUCCUGAUCCCUUUGCUGGAGACAGAGAGCACUCACGUAGCCCUCUGCCCUGGAAGCUUUGUGUU